Molecule: non-coding RNA, 256 nt
Organism: Pelobates cultripes (western spadefoot toad)
Lineage: Eukaryota; Metazoa; Chordata; Amphibia; Anura; Pelobatidae
Source: the annotation of a GenBank genome assembly
CUUCUGCUCGAGGAGUUCAUUGAUUUAAAAGGGGUGGUUCCUAAUGAUAGUGCAGGAAAUGCGCUCUUUCCGGGGGCUGACGGCGCACCCCCAGGAGGUGCUGUGCUGGCUGGACAGAAGAAAGGUCAGUACAACUGGGGACCGUCGGGUAGGCUUCGAUAUGGGUGUUCCGGAGGCGGUGGGAGUCACGGUGUCAACUGACGCGUCAAAAAAGGAAAACCUAAGGCAGGAAGGGUACUCGGCAGGGCUUCAGCCC